Anas platyrhynchos (mallard) is the source of this 6008-nucleotide non-coding RNA. NCBI's taxonomy places the organism in Eukaryota, Metazoa, Chordata, Aves, Anseriformes, Anatidae. The record is from RefSeq and is a predicted model, not a curated record.
GAAAAACACUAUUCAGAAUAGCAGACGUGAAGCAUGAAUCUGCUGCUCUACAUUUAGAAUAAUUCCUCCUUGGAUGUCCUGGUGAUAGGGCUGCCCAAUAUACUAAAUGUAGUUUAGUACUGAGAUCUGAGAACUUAUUUGCCCUAGCUUUUGAACUAUAAAAUCAUAGUGAGAAGUAUGUUGCUCACUAAGGAGAAGUACAUGUUCGCAUUCAAACUGGGUUCAGUGCAACAGCAGCUCUUCAGGAGCGUGGAAAAGGACAUCCAGUGUUAAAGCUACUCCAGUGUUUGGGUAUUGUUAUAGUACAGAAAACCUACUGCUUUGGAGUAAAUUUUGGACUCAUACAAAGUUUAAAAAAAACAACAAAAACACCUGCAACUGAAUUGAAAUGGGUGCAUUUCACAGGGCUCCUGAGAAAUCUUGGGGUUAGUCUUCUGCUGCUGCUUUCUUAUUUGCUAUGGCAACUGUCAUGCUAAGCUGUACAUCGCUACAGCCCUAGGCUCUCAGGGCAAGUGCCAACCCAUCCAAAAUAAGCCACUGAAACUGUACAAGCUUGUCUAAGUCAGCAGCCUCUGCUACCACUCUGAUUGCAGGGAAAGUACUUCUCACAACUGGUUCAUCAGACCCUAAGCCAAGACUCUAGGUGAUAGAUCACCUGCUGGAGGUGCCUCUUCCUCUUCACAAGGUGUGAAGGGAGCUUAGAGGAGCACAGACACCCAGAUCUCAGAUGAUGCAGAUUGACCAGAAGAGUUCCUCUGGCACCCAACUCUGCUAUGCAGGAGGAGGAAGGAAAGACGAUGAUGAACCCGUGUACACGCCCAGGAACUUAGGAAGACAUGUUUUUUUCCCAGGACCCUCCUCAUCCCAUCCCCAGAAAUAUCCUCACAAAGACAGCAGGGGUGGAGGUACUUGCCCUGGCUUCCACAGAAGCAAAAGGAAAUAAAUAAUUUCUACUCUGGGAUCCUACCAAACACCUCCCCUUACCAUGUUCCUGCCUGUCCCCUCCGUGUCUUUCUCCUGCUGCCACUGCCAAGUGCAUGGCAUGCGCAAGCCAAUAACAUGCCUCAUUGUACAGUGCAUCCCACAGCACAGGAAUUUACACCAGCAAAUCUGGAACAGCAGAUGCUGCCUAAUGCAGCCCAUACCUAUCUGCUGCUCACCAGUGGAAAUGUGGACAAUAGCCUACUGCACUUUGCAGUGGUUUGCCCUUGAAAAUAAAAAAGUUCUGCAGUAACACACCAUGGAUACUUCAGAAAAUUACUCAGCAAGCCAAAAAAGGAUGUUUUAAAAACUAAUCAUUUGCUAGCAAAAAGAGAGCAUAAUUCAUUUGAAAACUUUUCGGACUGCAGACUAGUUUUAGGCUUGGUUUGGAAACAGUUUGUCCACUGACCGGACUUUCUAGACUACUUAAACAAACAUGUUUUGCAAUAUAUCCCACUGUCUUUCCUAGAUGGAAAAUUCAUAAAUAAAUAAAAUAAAUAAAUAAACACAAUGUAUUUUAAAUUACUUUGACACACAGUGACUGGAUCUAGGCUAAAACUUUGCCCAGGAUUUAUAUUCAGCAACCCUGUAUGAAUGGAAUGAAGCUCAGAUCUAGGUAUUUGUGUCUCUGAGUUUCAGAGGUGUUAGUCAGAUUACUUCCCUGAUUCUAAUUAGAUUUCCAUGAGAAAUUUGAGGGAGGGGGUUGGGAGCCACUAUUUAAAGAGCUUUUUUAAUCUGUGUUUCCAAGGCAUUCCCUAUCCUAGCCUGGUCUCAUGCAGAGAUAAAACCACAGAAUUGCUAAAUACAAAUACUUGUGGGCUUUCAAGAUUCUUUGCUUUUUAGCCCAAACCUAAUAGGAGAGAAAGCUAAGCAAUGAGGUUGCAAGAUUUUCAUUUUUCUUUUUUUUUUUUUCACCCCCUAAAAAUGUAAAGACUCAUCUGUAAGCAUCUGCCCACAGCUAAUGUUUCUGAAAACCAGAUCUGGAUGAGUAAUGCAAGAAAAUUUCUCCUUACGCCAAUGUUAGGUAGUGGAGUUCCACAACACCCAAGUCCCCUAAGCCCAAUUUAUUUCCCUUCAGCCCGUUGCUUUUCCCACCGUGUCCCUUCACAUGCCUCUGAGCCACCAAAUUGCUUGCUGCAGCUGUGUGAGCGUAUCCUUUCCUAUGGGAAAUAUUCAUGUCUCUAGGAAUCACCAUAGCAGAUCCUGUGUCUCUUUCAGCCUGUCCCAAUGUAACAAGAAGAAAGAAAAGCAAUUGUCCACAGACCGUCAUUGCCCACAGUCAUCUUUACUCAUCAUGAGAGCCCCAGUGGUCAGUGAACAGCUGGACGUAAGUGAGAACAGCUCUGGGGAGCUUUGACUUCCAUCCAAGAUUGUCUUUGUCCCUGCCUUGCCAAAGGGAAAAUAUAAAUGUGGUUUAAAGCACAACUCAGCUGGGCUCAGGAGUUGGCCAGAAGCUGUGCUGGGUUUGUGCAGGGGGAAAGAAGGCUCUGAGGCAGAGUGUCUGCACUCCACAUCUGCAGACUCCCAAAGUUCCUCCUGGUGUGACCAGAGCAAAGGCAAGGAGCAGAUCCCACUUCCUACAUGCCAAUUAGCAGUGACCUCCCUGCUGCAAUGCAUGCAGCCCUCUUGCUGCACGGAAAGACAGCUCCUUGCAGGGACUGUUAAAUUUAUCCAUUCUCAUGACAUUUUUGCCAUUUUUUACAGAAAACAGCUUCUAGACACUUAAAUAAAGGAUGUUUAAAUUCUUCCCUGUACUGCUUGCUAGUUCUGCUGCCAUGUCAGCUGGUUGUAUAUUCACACUCAAGCUGGGGCCACACUCGGUUUCCUCUCAGUAUUUGCCUGGGAAUGACUUGAUGGCACAAGGCACCAAGUGGGCUGGCAAGCCCAAAGGGCCCCAGGAACAGAGCAUUUCAGGAGGGUGCUGGCCUGCUGGAUUUGUGAAAUAUAUCACCCAUUUCUGUACACAUCGAGUGCACAGAGCAACUUACGCAUGUAAAAGUUAUUUAAUGAUCAUAAGCAAAAUUCAUGGAAGUCAAGCACGUUUCAUCAGCAUCCUCCUUCAGGUCUGCUUCCCACCUCCUUCCUCUUGAAACAGCUCCUCACUGUUCUGACGAGGUUCACAAGGGCAUCUUUGACAACACUACUCUCACUUCAUAAAAUCCUGGUUCCUACUGCAGGCCACAGCUCUCUUACCUCCCUGACAGCAUCUCCUGCUGCGGAUCCAGCUGCCAACUUAAACUCCAUAAAAAUUAACUUGGAUUUUUUUCCUCUCCAACCUCUCUAAACGCUCAGAUUCCUCUGUCACCAUAAGUGUUUCCUCCACCUUCCCAUUCAAUUGCUCAGGCCCAUAACCUAGGUAUGAUCUCUAAUUCACCCUCUUCAGGUCAUGCCCUUUGCCUGUCACCUCCACUUUCAGAAAUUUUUAAAGAUUUAAUCUUUCUUGACCAAGCCUUAACCACCUAUGGGAAAGUCAGUGCAGAGGAAGGGUGUCAGGCAAGGUUUGACUUGCUGAGGCAGGCAGACACAAGCCAGCUGAAGCCUGAAAAUCAUGUAAAGGUAUUAAAGUGAUGCUAUAUCCAAGCUAACAGGGUCUUCUGAGAUAGCUGAGAAGCACGUGUUGAUUCCUGCCCAGAUCCCUAUAACAGCUUUUCCUCUGGCCUUCACAUCAGUUGCGUUGCUGUAGCUCACACACUUCACCUCCCCUCAAAUAUUAUUGCUCGACAUCCUGGUGUGGCCUCCAGCCACAGCAUCAUCCUCUACAUCCUGCUCCUCCUCUUCAUCAGGUGUGAGAGCUUUAAUGUGGCUAUCAUGCCUGCCACCUUAUCUCACAGCUCACCAGCAGGAGUCUUUGAAAUCAUGAGUCAGUCCCAUCCCUCUCGCCAGCAGAAAAUAUGAGACAAGCUUGGAAAGCAUGAAAUUAAUCAUCAGUUUUACAGCCGCCUUCUUGCUGCCUUGGACCUCGCAACCAUGGAGAAUUGAGGCUCAUUCACUGAUCUGUGCCAGACAGAGGGGUUUGCAGCAGGCUGCUGGCUCAAAGUUUUGCUACUUAAGACUAAAGUUUUGAUUAAUAUAGGAAGCAAAAAAUUUCUUUUACAUAUAUUACUAAACAACAAAGUGUUCAUAUAACAUGCAAGCAGCCAUUCUGACCCACUAGAAAUUUGUUAAACUGCAAGAUCUGGGGACUUCUUAGGUCAAACAGUUAACUAGACCACCUCAGUGACCAGCACAGAUGCUUAAAAUGAUGGGAAGUUUCGCUAGCCCCUCCGUAUUCUUAUCGAAGGAUUAAUGAAAACUGGUUUAUUUGCUUAUGAAUAGCUCCCACUUCUCUCAAAACUGCUAAGAAGAGUACAGCUUCUUUUUCUUUCUCCAUUCUCCCUCCCUGUUCCAGCCAGCACACACACACCGGGCUGAGCGAGGGGCUAUCUCUUAAUCUCUGCUGUGGUAUCAAGUUGCAGCGAGCUUGCAGCUUGGCUGCGAGUUCAAGCUGGAACCAGAUGACUUACUUCACUGCAGUUUCUCAUGACAUCUUGGUAAUUAAUGUCCUAGAUCUCACUCCAUCUCCUCUCUGAGGAGAGCAGCUCUUAUUUAAUUGCCUCAUAAUGUAUACUCAAAAUGAAUACUUGCCUAAUUGUCCCUAGACAGAUGCUUGGAUGAAAGCCUGUGAGAAAGCAUAUAGGAUCUAAUGCUGAAUAGAGGCCCACAAAGCACAAUAAAGCAAAAACUUAUAACUCUUCGUUACUCUCUAAUCCACCAAAACAACAAACUUGAAUUUUUAAGAUACUCCAGAGUUAUAAAUUCAUAAUAAAAAAUUGUUAUCUGCUGUUUCCUCUCCCCUUCAUCUAUACAGAAUAAGAUCUUGAGGAAGAUUUCUUUAAUGUGACAACUUAAAUAGGAAAGGAUAAAUCUUUGAAGUGCAGUGUGAUGCUUGAGUUAUGCUACUGCAUUUUGUGGAAUGGCAUUAUCAAAAUCCAAUGACAGUCUGUGUAUGGACACUGUAAAAUGCCUACAGAUCCAUAUCUUCACCUCUGUCUCAGUAGGAGCUACUCUGUACACCCUAUUCUGUUCAAAGGCAUUCAAACACUGGUGCGACAGACAAAUCAGCAGAGCCUCAUAUGAAAAGCCCAGUUUGAUUCAUAUCUUGCUAUGAUAUGUUAUUAUAUUAUUAAUUGUAUGAUAUUAUUACAUCAUAAUAUCAUAUUACUUACUACAUCACUAUUUGUGUUCUCUCUGAGAUCUCAGGUUCAGUAUGACCUGUCAGAGAUAGGUAUGAAGCCAGAAACCAUCAAAAACUCCAGGACAAGCAGCACCUAUUCUUAUUAUAUUUCAGCCUGCUGUCAUUUAAAGGUUUUAAGAAGCCCAUAAAAGAGCAAGAAACCUAAGUGAGGUAAUUUACUAACAACAUUUGAUAGCUGCAGCAACAACAAUGUUUCAUCAAUAACCUGUUCCACAAUAACAAGUUUGGCCACAAUGUGCAGAAUUUAUCCAUGGAAGUAAUUUUGUAAAUGAAACCAUUGUGAACAUGAGGAAUUACAUUUAAGUAUUCAGCGUUCUGUGACAUUGAAAAUUAUUCAAAAGCAUCACGGGUUCUAAGUAUUAGAACCAGCAUUACUGGCUCUAUGUAUUACACAGGCUCAGAUACUAAAGAUCUUCUAGUCAAUAGGUUGUAAGAUCCACUAUUUCUAGCCAUCUUAACCUGUUUGUUAAGUUCAUGAUUAAUUUUUCUUUAUUUACUGUUUUUAGCCAAGUAAAGAAAAUAAAAAUUUACAGUUUCACUGGAUUUUUUGAACGUUUUUUCCUAACAGAUCAACUGAAUUUUUCACUUAAAAAAUAAUAAUAUAUAUAUACAUGUAUAUAAAUUUUGUUUUCUUGCUUACUUUGAAGGGGAGUGAAGGAGGGACUAAAUUAAAUACUAAUAAAACUGCUGUUUAAGCUAAAACAAAAUUUGUUUUUUUUCAUUUCAUUUGAAAUGUUAAAAUAUGUCCAGGUCAACUCACCCCACUCUGCCAAAAAAAAAAAAAAAAAAAAAA